CGGCGAACGGGUGAGUAACACGUGGGUGAUCUGCCCUGCACUCUGGGAUAAGCCUGGGAAACUGGGUCUAAUACCGGAUAGGACCAUGCUUUAGUGUGUGUGGUGGAAAGUUUUUUCGGUGUAGGAUGAGCCCGCGGCCUAUCAGCUUGUUGGUGGGGUAAUGGCCUACCAAGGCGGCGACGGGUAGCCGGACUGAGAGGUUGGUCGGCCACAUUGGGACUGAGAUACGGCCCAG
RNAcentral lists this ribosomal RNA (235 nucleotides) under uncultured Actinomycetales bacterium. Its description in RNAcentral is "partial 16S ribosomal RNA". It matches the Rfam family "Bacterial small subunit ribosomal RNA", at positions 96 to 334 of the family's 1533-position model. Lineage: Bacteria; Bacillati; Actinomycetota; Actinomycetes; Actinomycetales. The record is from RNAcentral.